RNAcentral lists this ribosomal RNA (246 nucleotides) under uncultured bacterium. RNAcentral describes it as "partial 16S ribosomal RNA". It matches the Rfam family "Bacterial small subunit ribosomal RNA", at positions 531 to 776 of the family's 1533-position model. The record is from RNAcentral.
GGUGCGAGCGUUGUCCGGAAUCAUUGGGCGUAAAGGGCGCGUAGGUGGCCCGGUCAGCGUGCGGUGAAAGCUCGGGGCUCAACCCCGAGUCGGCCGUGCGAACUGCUGGGCUGGAGCACGGUAGGGGCAGAGGGAAUUUCCGGUGGAGCGGUGAAAUGCAUUGAGAUCGGAAAGAACACCAACGGCGAAAGCACUCUGCUGGGCCGACACUGACACUGAGAGACGAAAGCUAGGGGAGCAAAUGGG